This 253-nucleotide ribosomal RNA is filed under the name uncultured bacterium. RNAcentral's name for it is "partial 16S ribosomal RNA". It matches the Rfam family "Bacterial small subunit ribosomal RNA", at positions 524 to 776 of the family's 1533-position model. The record is from RNAcentral.
UACGAAGGGGGCUAGCGUUGUUCGGAAUUACUGGGCGUAAAGCGCACGUAGGCGGAUUGUUAAGUCGGGGGUGAAAUCCUGAGGCUCAACCUCAGAACUGCCUUUGAUACUGCAAAUCUCGAGUCCGGAAGAGGUGAGUGGAAUUCCUAGUGUAGAGGUGAAAUUCGUAGAUAUUAGGAAGAACACCAGUGGCGAAGGCGGCUCACUGGUCCGGUACUGACGCUGAGGUGCGAAAGCGUGGGGAGCAAACAGG